Molecule: ribosomal RNA, 486 nt
Filed under: uncultured bacterium
Lineage: Bacteria
Description: bacterial SSU rRNA
Rfam family: Bacterial small subunit ribosomal RNA
Source: RNAcentral
GAUGAACGCUAGCGGCAGGCUUAACACAUGCAAGUCGAGGGGCAGCACGUCUUCGGAUGGUGGCGACCGGCGCACGGGUGCGUAACGCGUAUAGAACCUACCUUUUACAGGGGAAUAGCCCAGAGAAAUUUGGAUUAAUGCCCCAUAGUAUUAUUAGAUGGCAUCAUUUGAUAAUUAAACAUUUAUGGGUAAAAGAUGGCUAUGCGUUCUAUUAGCUAGAUGGUAAGGUAACGGCUUACCAUGGCGACGAUAGAUAGGGGUCCUGAGAGGGAGAUCCCCCACACUGGUACUGAGACACGGACCAGACUCCUACGGGAGGCAGCAGUGAGGAAUAUUGGACAAUGGGCGAGAGCCUGAUCCAGCCAUGCCGCGUGCAGGAGACGGUCCUAUGGAUUGUAAACUGCUUUUUANACAGGAAGAACACUCCCUCGUGAGGGAAUUUGACGGUACUGUAUGAAUAAGCACCGGCUAACUCCGUGCCAGCAG